RNAcentral lists this non-coding RNA (26 nucleotides) under Mus musculus (house mouse). RNAcentral also lists the same sequence under 1 other name. Lineage: Eukaryota; Metazoa; Chordata; Mammalia; Rodentia; Muridae. The record is from RNAcentral.
AAAGGCCAUUGGAUGUUAAGUUCUUG